Molecule: long non-coding RNA, 175 nt
Organism: Eurytemora carolleeae
Lineage: Eukaryota; Metazoa; Arthropoda; Copepoda; Calanoida; Temoridae
Exons: 2
Source: RefSeq, a predicted model, not a curated record
UAUAAAGGAACGGGAAGGACUCUCUUUUUAAAAAAAACGUACAAAUUGUUAAAUUGAAUACGUCAAUGUAAAUAGUGAAACGUAUUUUAUUAUAUAAAUGUUCAGAUUUUGCAUGCAAUGGCCUCCUUUAUAAUUAAUAAUUUUUCCAGAAAGAAUUAAUAAAAAUAAUUCCACU